UGGAGGGCAAGUCUGGUGCCAGCAGCCGCGGUAAUUCCAGCUCCAAUAGCGUAUAUUAAAGUUGUUGCAGUUAAAAAGCUCGUAGUUGAAUUUCGGGGUUAGUAGGUUGGUCAUGCCAUUGGUAUGUACUGAUCUCACUGAUUCCUCCUUCCUGAUGAACCGUAAUGCCAUUAAUUUGGUGUUGCGGGGAGACUGGACUGUUACUUUGAAAAAAUUAGAGUGUUUAAAGCAGGCUAACGCUUGAAUACAUUAGCAUGGAAUAAUGAAAUAGGACGUUCGAUCCUAUUUUGUUGGUUUCUAGGAUUGACGUAAUGAUUAAUAGGGAUAGUUGGGGGCAUUAGUAUUCAAUUGUCAGAGGUGAAAUUCUUGGAUUUAUUGAAGACUAACUACUGCGAAAGCAUUUGCCAAGGAUGUUUUCAUUAAUCAAGAACGAAAGUUAGGGGAUCGAAGACGAUCAGAUACCGUCGUAGUCUUAACCAUAAACUAUGCCGACUAGGGAUCGGAUGAUGUUAAUUUUUUAAUGACUCAUUCGGCGCCUUACGGGAAACCAAAGUGUUUGGGUUC
Molecule: ribosomal RNA, 564 nt
Filed under: uncultured Glomeromycotina
Lineage: Eukaryota; Fungi; Glomeromycota
Description: SSU rRNA
Rfam family: Eukaryotic small subunit ribosomal RNA
Source: RNAcentral